CCUACGGGAGGCAGCAGUGGGGAAUAUUGCGCAAUGGGCGAAAGCCUGACGCAGGGACGCCGCGUGAGGGAUGAAGGUCUUCGGAUCGUAAACCUCUGUCAGCAGGGAAGAACGGUCAGUGGGCUAAUCAGCAGUGAAUUGACGGUACCUGCAAAGGAAGCACCGGCGAACUCCGUGCCAGCAGCCGCGGUAAUACGGAGGGUGCGAGCGUUAAUCGGAAUUACUGGGCGUAAAGCGCUCGUAGGCGGUAGGUCAAGUCAAGGGUGAAAUCCCCGCGCUCCACGUGGGAACUGCCUUUGCAACUUGCAAACUGGAGUGUGUGAGAGGAUAGUGGCAUUCCAGGUGUAGUCGU
Molecule: ribosomal RNA, 352 nt
Filed under: uncultured bacterium
Lineage: Bacteria
Description: partial 16S ribosomal RNA
Rfam family: Bacterial small subunit ribosomal RNA
Source: RNAcentral